RNAcentral lists this long non-coding RNA (1924 nucleotides) under Coffea arabica (coffee). Its description in RNAcentral is "long non-coding RNA (CARA_LNC000264)". The record is from RNAcentral. Lineage: Eukaryota; Viridiplantae; Streptophyta; Magnoliopsida; Gentianales; Rubiaceae.
CGUAUGAGCACAUAAAAGCACGUAAUUGACUCUUAAAUAAUAAUAGGGGUACCUCCCUUUUUGAAGUGAUGACUAAAUGGAGUCGAAUUGCCUUAUUUAUAUUCAAAAUGAACAAAAGAAUCAUGGCACCAAUUUAAUUGAAAAAUAAUAAUAACAAAAAUACUAAAUUCACACUAAUAUGUCGAACGUAAACAAAUUUAAGAACAUCUAAAAAUUACAAGUUAAGUAUAUUCAAAAGUAGCAUAAUUAGCUAUUAAAGAAAAGAAACAAUCAUAAUAAAAAGAGUCAAAAUUCAUCAGGGACUGAAUUACAAAAUUGAAAACUUUUGGGGACAGAAAUUAUAUUUUUUCAAAGUUUAGGGGUCAAAAUUAAAUGAAAGAUAAAAUUCAAGGACCAAAGUGCAAUUAAUUUAAGGGCCUAAGUGAAACAAAUUUAAAAUGUUCUGGGCCAAAGUGAAACUACUCCAAAGAUCAGGGGCUAAAGUGCAAAUUUCGGUUUCUGAUUUGGGAGAAAAAGGCCAUCGGGCCAUCAUUUUAUUUAUUUGGGCCGGAUACUACCUAAGCCCAGCCAAAAAGUACAUGGGCUCUGACCUUCUAACCCAACCGAAACCCAAAGAAAAUAAAAUAAAACCCAUUCCUGAAACCCAACCAAAACUAACUCUUGGCCCAUCAAAAAAAUAAACAUUAGCCCAAAUCUUUUUUUUCUUUUUCCUUCCUUUUUCUUUCUUCUCUUCACCGUCUGUUUCUUCUUCUUCUUGCCUGGCCAGCUGAAGCUUCUUCAGCUAUCGGCCAUGGCAGCUGCUGCCGCCGGACCGCCGCCGCCGGCGAUCGCCGGCAACUUCUUCCGUUACCAAAUUUCACCAAAAUACAUCCCCUCACUCGAUUUUUCGCGUAGAUUCGAUUUUUAAAAUUAGUUUUUACAAAAAAUGACCCGAAAGGGGCCGAAAUGCUAAAAAACAGCCCAAUUUUUUUAUAUUUUUAAACACUCAAAUCUUCACCAAAAAUCAUAAAAUUAUGCCGAAACACUCCUUAUAGCUUCUACAUUACAACUAUAAUAUUAGUUUGACAAAUAAACAACAACAAAAUGAUGCAUUAAGUCAAAACAGCCCCAACAAUGAAGAAAAUUAUUCUAAUGCUUUGAAGGCUCAAAACUCCAAAAUUUUUUAGAUAAUGCAACCUUUUUGGACCUACACUGUCAAAUGGUCAUCUAUUUUGACAAAAACAACAUGCACCAUGCCCAGCUUUUAACUCGUUUUCCAUUUUGGCAUUUUUUCAAACGGUUAAUAUGCAUGCACGAAAAACAUUUCCCUUUCCUCAAUCUAGUUCAUGCCAUUUCCCAAUUUUUAACAAUACAACAACAACAAUGCAAGGCAGCCAGCAGAAACGAAAGAAAACUAAACAAUGAAGCAUUUGAUUUAACGUGCUGGACAAAACUAAAAAUUACCUCAAUGUAGGUGUGUGUGAGGUUGAGAUGGAACCGAGAGGAGUUGGGGAAGAUUUUUUUUCUUCUUCUCUGUUUCUUUCCUCUGCCCAAGUUCGAGAGAGGGAGAGAGUGAGGGGUCAGGUUGCAAAAUUCCGAGAGCUUCACUUCCUCUUCUCUCGUGCGUUUCUCUAUUUUUUUUUUUUCUGCCUCUGCCAAGUGAGCCUGGAGAGAUUGGAGUGUUUUUUUUUUUUUUUUUUUUUUGUGGCUUGUCUUCUUAGCUUCUUGUCUUCUGUCUGUGAGAGCUGAGAGAGGAGAUUGAGGAAGUAAAGGUGGGGAGUUUGUGUGUUUGUUUGGUCAAAAUCAUUAUUUUUUUACCCAAUGACAAGAAAGAUCAAGAAAGUUGAGCGUAGGAAUGGGUUAAGUGUUUUUUUUUGUAGGGAAAAUAAUGAAAAUGUGUAAGUUUUGUAAUAAUGUGAUUUUGAUUUGAUUUUUGAUUUUUUUU